GGAUGACUGUGUCCUUUGCCUUACAGAAGCUUCUCAGUCUCUGCAGGUUGUAUUUAUUAAUUGCUGAUCUCAGUGUCUGUGCUACUGGUGUUCAAGAAGUCCUAUCCUGUACCAAAGAACCAGUCUUCAGUCAAGGGUAUAUGAGUAGCUGUGCUCCUCUGUUAGAACCUACAAAGAAGCUCUCAUGGCUUUCUUCUUUUAACCCUUUUAUUUUGUUGAGUCCAUUGGCAGUGCUUUCCAUAAUCAGAGGUAUUUCCCCCAGUUAAUCUAUGGAAAUAUAUCUCAUGAU
RNAcentral lists this small nuclear RNA (289 nucleotides) under Mesocricetus auratus (golden hamster). RNAcentral's name for it is "7SK RNA". The stretch from base 119 to 289 matches the Rfam family "7SK RNA", at positions 172 to 331 of the family's 331-position model. Rfam says of the family: 7SK was discovered as an abundant small nuclear RNA in the mid-70s but a possible function has only recently been suggested. Two independent studies have found that 7SK RNA binds the CDK9/cyclin T complex (known as elongation factor P-TEFb). Lineage: Eukaryota; Metazoa; Chordata; Mammalia; Rodentia; Cricetidae. The record is from Rfam by way of RNAcentral.